UUAAGUUCAGCGGGUAUUCCUACCUGAUCCGAGGUCAACCAUUUAAAAAUUGGGUGUUUUACGGCAGGCGCCAGCGUAACCACAGAAGCGAGAUAAAAAUUACUACGCCUAGAGUAUACACUAACUCCGCCACUAACUUUGAGGGGCUGCAGGCCAGAGGCCAGCGGGCUCCCAACGCUAAGCAACAGGGCUUAAGGGUU
RNAcentral lists this unclassified non-coding RNA (200 nucleotides) under fungal sp. RNAcentral's name for it is "partial internal transcribed spacer 2". The record is from RNAcentral. Lineage: Eukaryota; Fungi.